RNAcentral lists this ribosomal RNA (497 nucleotides) under uncultured bacterium. RNAcentral describes it as "partial 16S ribosomal RNA". It matches the Rfam family "Bacterial small subunit ribosomal RNA", at positions 28 to 507 of the family's 1533-position model. The record is from RNAcentral.
GAUGAACGCUGGCGGCGUGCCUAAUACAUGCAAGUCGAGCGAACAGACGAGGAUCUUGCUCCUCUUACGUUAGCGGCGGACGGGUAAGUAACACGUGUAUAACCUACCUAUAAGACUGGGAUCACUUCGGGAAACCGGAUCUAAUACCGGAUAAUAUAUUGAACCGCAUGGUUCAAUAGUGAAAGACGGUUUUGCUGUCACUUAUAGAUGUAUCCUCGCCGCAUUAGCUAGUUGGUAAGGUAACGGCUUACCAAGGCAACGAUGCGUAGCCGACCUGAGAGGGUGAUCAGUCACACUGGAACUGAGACACGGUCCAGACUCCUACGGGAGGCAGCAGUAGGGAAUAUUCCGCAAUGGGCGAAAGCCUGACGGAGCAACGCCGCGUGAGUGAUGAAGGUCUUCGGAUCGUAAAACUCUGUUAUUAGGGAAGAACAAAUGUGUAAGUAACUAUGCACGUCUUGACGGUACCUACUCAGAAAGCCACGGCUAACUACGUG